GAACGCACAUUGCGCCCGCCAGUAUUCUGGCGGGCAUGCCUGUUCGAGCGUCAUUUCAACCAUCAAGCCCCCGGGCUUGUGUUGGGGACCUGCGGCUGCCGCAGGCCCCGAAAACCAGUGGCGGGCUCGCUGUCACCCCGAGCGUAGUAGUUUACACCUCGCCCAGGGCGCGACGCGGGUUUCCCGGCCGUUAAACACCCCCCAUCUAAAGGUUGACCUCGGAUCAGGUAGGAAGACCCGCUGAACUUAAG
Molecule: unclassified non-coding RNA, 251 nt
Filed under: uncultured fungus
Lineage: Eukaryota; Fungi
Description: sequence contains 5.8S rRNA gene
Rfam family: 5.8S ribosomal RNA (bases 1-53)
Source: RNAcentral